GGGGCCAUAGCUCAGUCGGGAGAGCGCUUCCCUCGCACGGAAGAGGUCAGGGGUUCGACUCCCCUUGGCUCCA
Molecule: transfer RNA, 73 nt
Filed under: Chloroflexota bacterium
Lineage: Bacteria; Bacillati; Chloroflexota
Also listed under: 2 other names
Description: Chloroflexi bacterium tRNA-Ala
Rfam family: tRNA
About the family: Transfer RNA (tRNA) molecules are approximately 80 nucleotides in length. Their secondary structure includes four short double-helical elements and three loops (D, anti-codon, and T loops). Further hydrogen bonds mediate the characteristic L-shaped molecular structure. tRNAs have two regions of fundamental functional importance: the anti-codon, which is responsible for specific mRNA codon recognition, and the 3' end, to which the tRNAs corresponding amino acid is attached (by aminoacyl-tRNA synthetases). tRNAs cope with the degeneracy of the genetic code in two manners: having more than one tRNA (with a specific anti-codon) for a particular amino acid; and 'wobble' base-pairing, i.e. permitting non-standard base-pairing at the 3rd anti-codon position.
Source: RNAcentral